CUCCCUUAGUCCGUCCGCUUUUUGAAUCUCCCUCCUGGCUUCUGCGAGCUCCCGCCCUUCCGCAGACGCGGGGGUCUCCCGGCGCACCAGGACGUGCAGGUUUUGUCCACCCUAGGGCUCCUGAGGAAUCGCGUUAGUUUAGGCUCACUCUGCCCCAUACCUGUUUGUCCGACAGACAACCUUUAAAAAAAAAAAAAAGUUUUCCCUCCGGGGAUCAGAACGUUUAAACACUAAACGUAGGCAAGGGCUUCCUGGCGGCCUGAGGGGCACCACCACCUUAACAUCUACGUAAGACUGAAAACCACUGGGGGCCGAGGUCCAGGGGUGAUGGAGACGCGAGGACCGAGGAUGGAGACCGAAUCAGGAAUCAGGCCCACGUCGUCAUCUACGUGACCGGCCGACAGGGUUUAAUUCCUAUCUGGGGUUAAAUGAAAUGCCAAGCGGAGGAGUUGAUUUUAAUUCCAGAUGGACUCAGUGUAUAUAACAGCGUGUAUUUUUCAAAGAAAUGGGUGUAAAGAGAAAGAAUACGCGGAGAAUUUUAACGGAAUGCCUAUGUAAACAAGCACUAUUACUGCCCUCAAUUGUUUUCUGCUUGAGAAAACAUAGGUUGUGUUCUUCAUUAUCUAUCUGCAGCCAAAGUGUGGCAUCUUUUGCUUGUUCUAACUGUGGUAUACAUUCCAGAUCCUUUAGCAUAAUAUACUUUCGUCACAGAAAUGACAUCUUCAGGGAGACAACUUUGAAGAAGUGCCUGAAAGUCACAGUAGAAAUACUUUCUUCUGUUACCUCCUGAAAGAUUGAAAUUUCGCAGAAGUAUCUAAUGAAGAGGAAUCUGAACAUAGCACUUGAGGAAGGAAAAAGAUUGGGAGAAGAGCCCAGAUGUCAUAAAGCAAAGAGAGGAUGAGGUUGAGAUGACCAUCUGUGUGCUCAAUUGUUUUUAUGUAUUUUGGAUUAUGCCCUUAAUAGAGGCCCCUUGAAGCAGAAUUAUUGAGUAAAAGCUCUUGCUACGUCUUGAUAUUCAGGUUACAUCAGAUUUUAGAGCAUGUACUGUGUUUGUGAUUGCCAUCUCUUAACUGUUGGAAUGGAACAAAACAUUGGAGAUUAUUUUAAUGAGAAAAGCUUCUCCAGGAAGUCAGUGAUGACCAAAAAAUUAGGGUAGGGAACUCAGGGAGACCAAGUCAACUGUAAAGUGAGAUUCUUGACAUCGUUCAGCAGCUGCUUCCCAGUGGAUUUAAUCAGUAGACAUCUGGUGGGAAAGGUACCACGGCACUGACAGCAAAGAGCUGCUUCAGCUGGGUGUGAUGGCAGCUUGAAAUCCAGGAGGAAGGAAAACACAGUAACCAGGGUGAGAUGGAGGAAGGGGAUCGUGAGCCAAGGAAUGCAAGCGCUUCUAGAAGCUGGAAAAGACCCGGGAGGCAGACUCUCCUUCAGAGCCUCCGGAGGGAAAGCAGAGCAGCCAACACCUUGAUGUGAGCCCGGGGGACCUCACUGGACUUCUAACCUACAGAUCUGUACUGUUUAAGCCACCAGGUCUGUGGUAAUUUGUUACAGUGACAAUAGAAGCUCAGCAUGUUGUCAUUGUCACCUGUCUGUCUGCUCUAGGCCAAGACUCAGGAGGGAAGCUUUGCUUCGACAUGUGGCAGCAUAAAUUCCCUUACAAUAAGAAAGGAUAGAAUUUUGAAUUCUAAAAAGCCACCAAAGUCUACAAAAAAUUCUUGAGCUGACCUUAUAUUAUUUCUAUCUUCCAAUCCUUUCCCCUCUUGCUUUAUAUUGACAAAGAUCAAAAAGGGUUCAGCAACUGUCUUUCACGAUUCUCCCAGAACCAUUAUUACACUGAAAUUUACAGGAUGUCUGACGUAUGAAGUACUAUCGUCCAUGGUUUCAGAAAGUAAAAAGCUUAAAUCUUCACUCAUUUGUUAGCUCACAACAGCAAAAGGUAACAACUGAGAAAAAAAUAAAUGAAGCCAAGAAAGAGAAAUAUCAAAGGGAAACUGAGCAAGAGCUGUUGGGUUUACACAGAAUGUUCCGAAGAAAACUUGGGGUAAUUAAGGAAAGAACGCAAAGACGACCCUGUUUUAUUCCAUACUUGAGCUGACGUAAGUCUUCAUCUGCUUAGUUCCUGAAUUUGCCCCAAGGUUGUGAAUAGAGAAAAAGAAAUCUUUACCAGAACCCAAGCAGCUGUGCUUCACCUGGUAUGAUUUGAUUUUAGGCUACUGUCUCGAAAUAAUUCCUCCCCUAGAAGAAUGUGUUGGGCAAAGUAAUGCCUGACCAAGUAUAAAUAGUGCCCCAAGCUUUAUCGAGUACCUUUAGCAUAUGUACCACCAAUAACAGUUUGUUAGAACUUUUAUGCUAUCCAUGCUUUAUAAAAACCACCAGUAUUUAUUUCAAAUUACUUUUUUAAAGUAAGAUUUUUCUAAGUUUACUCGUACAGCAAUCUCAGGGAUCCCAAGAAGGGCCACCUUGUUCCGCAAUCCCAAGGACAUCAGUGCAGAGUGACAUCCACGGUAUUCCAUGUGAACGCGGCCCCGUGCUGUGCAGCUCAGCAGCUUUGCAUUCAAGGUCUCGAUGCCUUCAGGAUUUCUCGCUCAAGCCCUCUUUGUUUCAAUGUCUCGGACCCUCCUAAGGAAGGAUGCAUUCUUUGAUUACAGUCAGGGGAUAGAUGAGGCAGGCUCAUUACAUGGGAACUGUCAUUACUCCCACCGCUGCAAUACUGACACACGCGAAGUUCAUGCUGUCGAAGAGAGGUCAGGACCCACUUGCCUGGAAUGCCCGCUUCCCUGCUUUACCCUCCGCAAAAUCUGCUAGGGCUGGAACGGUGCAUUUUUCCUUCCUUGCUAUCCCUGCGUGGACUUCCCUAAAGUCACAUUAUCCUUCUCUCCUUCCCUAUAUGAGCCAUAAUGGCAGAAUGACUGCCAGAGAAUGUGAAUUUCAAGGGAAAGGAAUGAGUAUUUUCAGAAUAGUAUUCUUAUUUUACCUUUAUCAUAUUUCUCUUGUUAAUUGCAUUCAAUAUUUUGAAAUGAAAAACGAGGACAGAGGUGCACAUACUUUAUCCCAUAUUGGUUUCCAAAUUGCAGGUUAUUGGGCAUGUGUGUAACUCCCUCAUUAAGUAAUCCAUGACAGUCCACACAGGUAUGACAAACUAGAGAGGCCUCUGUGGACCUCUGUGAGUUUUUAUUUCAUGAGAACCAUUUUUUUUUUCCUCAGCUAGUGUAGAAAAGUAUUUAAUAAUAUACAAAUGGUGAAGAGUAAUGAGACAGGAUUCAUUAGGUAUAUAAUUUGUUUCACCAUUGGUUACAUCAUUGAUUAUACCACUGCCUCUGCAGAUUGUCCCUUUAAAAUUCUACAAAUAAUGUCUAGAAAAUAUUUUCCAACGAUUUUUUCAGAUACAUAUUUGAGCAACUUCCCUUAAAGUUUACUUCUUUACAAACUUCCUAAUUUAAAUUGUUAAAUAAAAUUUCUCAAAUUUUCUUCCAAGUGUGAUUACACUAUUUUCUAGUACAUAAACAAAUACCAUGGGCCAGCAUGUCUCACUGGCAUCCACAUUCAGUGCCCCAAAUUAGAACCAAGUCAUUGUUUAGUCUUCUAGAACACUGGAUUUGAGUCCCUACUUCAACAUUUACUUGUUCUGUGAUUUGAGGGAAACAAGUCAAAAUCGUCAUGUUUUCUCAUUUGUGAAAUAGGAUCAACAAUACCAACCCACCUAAGGGUAAGGAGGCUUAAGUAAGAUGUACAUAAAGCAUCAGUAUACUGUAGGCACCCAAUAAAUGAUAGCUACCCACAUGGUGAGUUCUUGCAUUGCUGAUAUAGUUUCGUUUUUUGACCUAGGUAAUCAUUAUGUGGGCAUUUAAUAAUUAUUGGACUUUAUAUAUGGACUUCUGCAAUUAUAGUUCACAAAAAAGUAAGAAAUAGUAGCUAUUUUUAGUGUUAUCUAAAUGUUAAUUUACGUGAUGGUCCCUUAAGCCUGACCUGAGUCCCUACUAAUUGCAAAUUCUAAUAUGGCAUAUUACUUUAAAACAGAUUAAUUCCAUUUAGUAAAUUGGUAACUUUCUGCCUUACAUCACUCUAAUACCAGUUGCAGAAGGAAGCUGGCAUCUACACCAGGCCUCAUAGUUGCUAAACCCCCUUCUGUUCAGUCCAAGGAGGUGCCAAGGAAUUGAGAAAGGAAGGUAGAGGAAUUCAUUGAUGGGGUGUGACUGCCCUCUUUCAAAGUAGGUCUGCUCCUCUCUGUUUUACACACACAGGGCUCCAUUUUUCUUUGAAGAAAUAUGACUAAAAUAAAGUUUGAAAACCACCAAACGCAUAUUCAGAGUUCGGGUUUUAUCAUUUCAAUGUCCGAGCCCUGGUAAACUGACAAACAUGAAAAGAGUCAUAAGGAGAACACUAGGUGAUUAUCUUUUUGUGCAUUUGUCUUUACACUCCUUUUCAAGUUUUAUGUACAUUAUAAUAGUUCCACUUCAUAUCAUAGUACAGUUUUAUAACUCCAUAUACUUACUGUUUAUGCUGUUAGUUUGGUUGUUACUAAUGACUUCCAAGGAGGAUUCUGAUUCUACUCAUUAAAGUUUCAAGAUCACAAAACGUAUUUGAUUGCUUUGUGUUAAGGACUGGCACAUGAAAUCUCUAGCUUUUACUAAAAAGAAUAUCUUGUAUCUAACCCUUCCUGUUUAGUAUUACCUUUUUUCCCCCCUUCCAAGUUAGUCAAUUUUGUUUGGGACCUUGUCCACUAACUA
Long non-coding RNA from Balaenoptera musculus (blue whale), 4724 nucleotides. RefSeq lists it as uncharacterized. NCBI's taxonomy places the organism in Eukaryota, Metazoa, Chordata, Mammalia, Artiodactyla, Balaenopteridae. The transcript has 6 exons. The record is from RefSeq and is a predicted model, not a curated record.